AGAAACUUAGGUUAAUUCUAAACCAGAGGCCUUCAAAGCCUCAAACAGGGCUUAAACCCCUAGCUUCUG
Molecule: transfer RNA, 69 nt
Filed under: Eremias arguta (steppe-runner)
Lineage: Eukaryota; Metazoa; Chordata; Lepidosauria; Squamata; Lacertidae
Description: tRNA-Trp
Rfam family: tRNA
About the family: Transfer RNA (tRNA) molecules are approximately 80 nucleotides in length. Their secondary structure includes four short double-helical elements and three loops (D, anti-codon, and T loops). Further hydrogen bonds mediate the characteristic L-shaped molecular structure. tRNAs have two regions of fundamental functional importance: the anti-codon, which is responsible for specific mRNA codon recognition, and the 3' end, to which the tRNAs corresponding amino acid is attached (by aminoacyl-tRNA synthetases). tRNAs cope with the degeneracy of the genetic code in two manners: having more than one tRNA (with a specific anti-codon) for a particular amino acid; and 'wobble' base-pairing, i.e. permitting non-standard base-pairing at the 3rd anti-codon position.
Source: RNAcentral